AAAACACCCCUACAAUCAUUUUCUCCUUCACUUCCCCUCCAACAAGUGAAACUUCUCUUUCUCUUAUUAAACCCCAUCUCUUUCUCUCUAGCAAAGCCCCCCCACUUCCAGGGAGAUUUUGGGAAGAUUGGGUUGAAGUCCACUAGGUAGUGAGGCAAGCUUCUUGGACAAGAAGGAGCUUGUGGGACAAGUUGCUAAGGUAGAUUGGCACGGGGAACAAUAAAAAUCUACCUUACGAUGAGGUUGCAGUCUCCAAUUGCAAGAUUAUGCCCAUUUUGAAGGUUCUUGGUCAAAUUGGUCUUGGAGUUUGACGAAUUACUGACAAUUAUUCAAUUGCCUGGUUUUCCUAGCGAUUAACAACGAAUCGAGGGUGUGGAAGAGACUCUCCAACAGAUGGCUAAGGUGGGUGCUAGUAGCGAUUCGCCACAAGGCUUAGAGGCACGACUAGGGCUCAACCCCAUGGUUGGCCAGUAUGAUUGGAUCAAGAAACAAAGAGACAGGUUCAACAUAUUGGGUACUUGAUCCAGCCAAGACUGAAGUGGCACAGGACAAAGGCAAGAGCAUCACUCUAUAGAUAGCAAGGUCACCUAGAUGAACCUUGCAAGAUAAACCCAAUGGUCGUAUUUUUGGAAGCACUGUAUAGUUAGCUCAUUUUGGGAAAUGGAUUCGAAUGCGGUAGACAUAUAUUUGUACCUACUUUCAUUUUGGCGAAAAGGAUUGAUAUAAUUUAUUGAUGCUUGGAGUGGAGAUACAUGAAAAGUUUUGAGUGAACAAAUUGUGAUAAUCAUAUUCAUUCUCAUGCUUAUGUGA
Molecule: long non-coding RNA, 810 nt
Organism: Ananas comosus (pineapple)
Lineage: Eukaryota; Viridiplantae; Streptophyta; Magnoliopsida; Poales; Bromeliaceae
Exons: 4
Source: RefSeq, a predicted model, not a curated record